CUAGGGCGCAGCCCCGGCGGCGUCGAGAGCGGAGUAGGGGGCUGGGGGGGGUGGCGGCCGCCGAGUUCCCCCCCUUUUUUUUCUCCCCCGCCUGGGACCCGGCGGCGUCUCCGGGCGGCUUCUUGGUCGACGGCGCCCCCUUUUUCCUGCUCCCUCCUCCCCCGGUUGUAGGGGGAGAAGCGGCCUCCCCCCCGCCCCACGCACACACCCCGUCUCUUCCCCGCCUGGCGGGCGCCCAGUGCGGUGGUUGGGCGAGUGCUGGUGCGGGCGCUCGCUCGCGGUCUCUGUGCGCUUGGAAUAUGGUUGGGGAAAUGGAAACCAAGGAGAAGCCCAAGCCGAGCCCCGAUUACCUGAUGCAGCUGAUGAACGACAAGAAGCUCAUGAGCAGCCUCCCCAACUUCUGCGGGAUAUUCAACCACCUCGAGAGGCUGCUGGACGAAGAAAUUAGCAGAGUACGGAAAGACAUGUAUAACGACACGUUAAAUGGUAGUACGGAGAAGAGAAGUGCAGAAUUACCUGAUGCUGUGGGACCUAUUGUACAGUUACAAGAGAAACUAUAUGUGCCUGUAAAAGAAUAUCCAGAUUUUAAUUUUGUUGGAAGAAUCCUUGGGCCCAGAGGACUAACUGCUAAACAGCUUGAGGCUGAAACAGGAUGUAAGAUCAUGGUCCGAGGCAAAGGGUCCAUGAGAGACAAGAAAAAGGAAGAACAAAACAGAGGCAAGCCAAAUUGGGAACAUCUGAAUGAAGAUUUGCAUGUACUAAUCACUGUGGAAGAUGCUCAAAACAGAGCGGAAAUCAAAUUGAAGAGAGCUGUGGAGGAAGUAAAAAAAUUACUGGUACCUGCAGCAGAGGGAGAAGAUAGCCUUAAAAAGAUGCAGUUGAUGGAACUUGCAAUUCUCAAUGGCACCUACAGAGACGCCAAUAUCAAAUCACCAGCCCUUGCCUUUUCUCUUGCAGCAACAGCCCAGGCUCCACGGAUUAUCACAGGGCCUGCGCCUGUUCUCCCACCAGCUGCCCUGCGUACCCCUACGCCAGCUGGCCCUACCAUAAUGCCUUUGAUCAGACAAAUACAGACCGCUGUCAUGCCAAAUGGAACUCCUCACCCAACUGCUGCAAUAGUUCCCCCAGGACCUGAAGCUGGUUUAAUUUACACACCUUAUGAGUAUCCCUACACACUGGCACCUGCUACAUCAAUUCUUGAGUAUCCUAUUGAACCCAGUGGUGUAUUAGGUAUGGCUUUCCCAACGAAAGGCUAAGAAUUCAAGAACGGUCCUAACUGAACCCUCAUCAGAGCUGACUUUUAACACAUGCUUAGUUUUCAGCAGCCUUGAAAAAUUGUAGCCUAGCAGUCAGUGACUUACUUGCACUUUUUUGCACAUAGAAUUAAAAUGCUAUUAAUUUGGUGUAGCCUGUAGUAUAUAUGAUAAACUAGCUGUGAUUUAUGAGUGUAUGGUAGUGUACUGACUGCUAUGUAUUCUGUACUAUUUGCUUUACUAAUCACCUAAUUCAUUGCAGUUCAAAGUUAUUGACUUAGUUUUAAACCACAGUCUGUAGGCUUAAGGAAUUGCUUUAAAGCUUUUUUUUAAAAAGGUAAAAACUGGAAGUUGUUUUAAGAUUAGUAAAGAAACUUCAGUAUUAAAAAUGGCAUUAUUUAAAAAUAGUCCUGCUACAAGGAAGGCACUUCAGUGAAUAUGUGACUAGUAAAGCUCAAAUAUGCUUGGGUCUAAUAGAUUUCAUGAAAUAUUGUAAUCUUGAGUUUGUAAAUGAAUGGGUAAUGCAGGUUAAGGCCCAGAUGCUUAAAAUGUAAUAUUAAUCUGCACAGAGGUGCUCCAUAUAUUAAGAUUAAAAUUUGAAACUACUGUGCCUUAACUAGUUGCUUUCUUAAAAUGAAUUUUAGAAAGUGAUCGAUUUAAAUCCAUUUUCAUAAGCCUGCUGUUAAUGUUUUUUCAAAUGUUUUCUAACUGUCUUGGUAAUUGCAAUUUAACUAGGUGCGGUGGCUACUAAAGUUCGAAGGCACGAUAUGCGUGUCCAUCCUUACCAAAGGAUUGUGACCGCAGACCGAGCCGCCACCGGCAACUAACCUAUGACCUUCUGACCUCUGAACUCUUCACCCAAUGAUGACCUGACCAUGCCUGCCUGCUGAUCAGUUAACUGGUAAUCGCCUUUGCUUGCCUGUCUUCAGUGCAGCGAGCUGAGGCACUUUUCCGUUCGUCUUACCAUCUAACAAAAGACAAAGAACUUGUCCUCCAACUCAACUUUUUUUCCCUGUUUGGGUGAAAGUGGUUCUAGAACCUGCACUGAAUAGUAGUAAAGCAAUAAGGUCCAAUUCAUCCCUCCGCACUGAUCAUCCUUUAGUGUCCCACCCUAAAUGAAUGGUAAGAAGGGCCUCAUGUAAGAGAUGGAGGCAGACGUCCCUUAACUCCCUGAUGACAGAGGCAGUUACUGUGAGACUUCUAGGAAUCUUUUUCUUCUGAUAAAGAAGUCAAAGCUCUCUUUGAAUGUACUGUGUGAUGAUGCAUCAUGCAUGAACCUUUGGUCAGGGAUGUCAUUGGUGAAGGGAUUCCUAAAAGUAUUCAAAAUUUGACAUGCAGUGUAGUCACUACUAGUGCCCUCAAAGGGCAGAAGAUGCAGCCUUUUUUAUAUUACCUGCCAAAUUGGGUGUUUUUUAAAAAAAAAAAAGUGCCAUGAAAGAUAGGUUACUGAAUUUUUGAACUACAUCAAUGCAUAAACAAAAUAGCAACACUAUUUAAGCUAAACCUGAGAUAAAGUUCCUUUUACUAUACAACUUCCUUAAAAGAUUACAUGAGUACAAGGUACAUGCAUUAUGUGUCACAUUACUGGGCAAACUGUUCAAAUAUUUUUUUAAACCUCCCUGUAUAGAGAAAAUUCAUUAAGGAUGUAAAAGCCAUGCUUGCCUAUUUGCUGUAUACAUGUAAUGAAAUUGUAGAUAAAGUGUAGUGCAUUGAAACAAAUUGAAAAAAAGUAGAUACUUUUACUAUACAAGGGUGCUGGUGCAGAAAAAAAUAUAUUUUUGGAAAUGUAGCAUUUUAUACUUUCAAGUGUUAUAAAAAAGAAAAAGAACAAAGAAACCCUUUAUUUCAUUAAAUGAUUUUUUCUGGUGGUUGUCAAGAAACAAAAGACCAAAAGAGCCUUUUUGUCUUUCUUUUUUAUUUUUUAAGUAUUGGAAUAAGUAUAAAGAAAAGAAAGUGCCUUAUUUUCUUCAUGGUCAUUUAAUCAAAUGUCUCAUAUAAUCAGCUCCUCCCUCAGACAGCAAGUAAAUGCAUGCCACUCAGUCGCCCAGUAUGUGAAAAGAAGCUGUGAAGAAAGAUAAAUCAGUUGACCAUUCAAAUUACCUGAUUUUUGCCAUAAGAUGAUGUAACUUUGCCAGGAUUUAUACUGUGAAAUAGAAUUGUACCACCAACAGCCAACCACAGUAUUUUUGUAACACGUUCCCUUUUCAAUUGUAGACGAUAUAUUUUUAUAGUACUUGCUCAGCCUUAAACCAAAGGGUUCUAUGAUGCAGUCUCAUUCUAAAUCAAAGCAUGAAAUGACAGUAUUUAUAAAGUAGCAAGUGUUUAUUUUUUUUCCUUUGGAAUCAGUUGUACUGUUUCUAUUUGAAAUAAAUACGGGAAAGUACUGCAGAACUUGCUACAGAAUAAUUUUGUCAGUGAUUAAAUUAAAUAUUCAUACAGUCCAUCUAUCUUUUAAACAUGUUUUAAGUUUUUAGGUGUUUUCCUCUACAAUACCAAAUAGUGUACACAGUGUAUAGUUCUCAUCAAACUCUUACUUGAUGAAUGUUAACUGCUGGUUGCGCUUUACUAAAAAGAUAAAAAGUAUCAAUUAACUGUCUUUAAAGUCCAGUUAUGCUUCUGGCGUCAGGAUAAGUUCAUGCAACUGGGCUAGUGUGAAAUACUGUACGCACAAAAGUGAAUUAUAAAAAUAACGAAUGAGUAGUGGUAUGCUAAUGGCUUUAUCAUAUUUGGCAAAUAUCAGGUGAUAACUUGCCCCCUCCAUAGUGUCAACUUCUUAUCCUCCUAAAAACCUUCACAGCUUCCAAAUUAAAGGUCAAUAGUAAGAUAGGUUAGAGGGCUUAUUUUUUUUAAGCACCUGCAUGGUGACUUUGUCUAACAUUGUGUCUCACCUGGAAACAAGUAUCAGUUUAUUUACUAUGCAAUAAACAUUCAUCCUUUUGUACUCAGCUAGUUUUUCUUUUAUUCUGCCACUGGCUUUGUCUUCCUGUUACACAUAGGGUUGUUUUGGUUUGACUUUCAGUAUAUGCUGUGCCAUUUUGAUUUUUGUUUGGUUGAAUAAACUUGCGACACUCAAACAUUUUGAAGAGAGAAUUGCUUUAAAAAAAAACAUUACCAGUAUUUGAUCCAGUUUCAUCUCAACUAUGAUAAACCUGGACAUUUUUAGAUGCUGAUCAAAGGUCUCUUCUUGGGAGAAGUGUGACUUGUAAUAGUAAUGUUUGUUCUAAAAAAAGUUUGAAGACUUAGUUGACAACAUUUUUGAUCAACUUAAAGCAUGACUUUUGAAAUCUCUGAAUGCCUUGGUUCUCAGUAUUAUCACUUAUUGAAUUUUUCUUUUAUUAAAAUAUGUAGUUUAAGACUUUUUUCUGACAGUAUUAUGUAAUUUUUUUAGAGUGGGUAUAUGGGAGUGUCGCUUGUAUGUAACCGUACAGAUGACAUGUAUUUGUCUAUUCUUUAUCUUAGUUUGAUGCUAUGUAUGUACCAUAACCAACCUAUUGCCUAUGAGAAACAUGUAAGAUAAUGUAUUUACAGCCAUUGUUACAAGUUUAUAAUGUAUUUUUCUAUCUUGUUUUAUAUGUAUGUUAUAUAACAUUCAGAAGAAUUUUUUUCCUGACUGAGAAAAGGAUACAAAAAUGCAAAACCCACAAUUUUGAUAACUGAAAAUUGCCAAUUGUUUUGCAGUACUUUAUUAUUAUAUUGGGAGUGUUGUCUUUCUUGGGCUUUUAGUUAGCUACUGGAUUGAAUACAUUAGACAUAUUUGGGUUUUAGUUGGGUUUUUACAUAGCUUGCAUUUUAAUUCUUUGGUUCUUUGCUGUUUCUAUUAACCCAUAGCAUUAUUUUAAUAAAUGUUAUAAUACCAACCUACUAACUUUGGACUAUGUCAGUUUAUUAACCAUUACAUGUUUAAUUAAAAUAAACAAGGAAAGACGGAAGAAUGUACAGUCUUGAGUUAUUGGACUAACCCUGAAGAACGUGACCACAGAUAACACGUGACUUGUUUUAUGUUGUUUGUUUGGCUGACAUUCUGCACACUACUAUUAAAUUGGCUUUGAUCAUUCUGGCCUCUUACUUUGGUGAGUCGGUGCCAGUAGAUUUGGGAACAAAGUAGCAUUAUUGGAAGCAUUCUUCUAGAGUCUUGCCACUUGCCUUUCAGCAUCUGCAUUACUAAUUCCACACUUUCUUUCUCUGAAAUAAUCACUGUCAGCUCACAGCAGAAGGGCAAAGAUACCAAUCAGUUGUUACGAUCUGACCAGAAAAACCAGUUUGAUUCUUUGUUGAGCCAUUAUGAAUUCACAUAAAAAUUAAAUGUGAUUGGAAAUUUGUUGAUUAAAAAUAUGAUUCAGCAUUCAAAAUGUUACUCUGCUAUUAUAUUCUUGUUCUGAAGCAAGCAAUAUUCUACCCUGUAAGACUGGAAGAAUUUGCCUCUUUAAUUUGUAACUCUGAAUUAUUUCAGUUAUGAUCCUGAAGGAAUUAAAGCUGCAGUUCUUAGACUAUGUAAUUCUUAGGUAAUUUUACUAAUUUCACUUUGACUGCUCUGUAAUAAGCAGUUUGAACAAAACUCUAGGUUAGACUUCUUCAUAUAUCUACUGUAGUAUCUCAACACCACUAAGCUCAGGGCUGUAUAAAAAGCCAAAAUAGGUUAUUCUGAACAAAUAGGUUAUUUUGCAAAAAAAAUACACAAACUGUUGAAGUAGUAGCCAUUUCUAAGAAGUAGUUUUAACAUUAUCCAAGAUUUGUUCUUGUGGAUGAUGGUAGCAAAAUGACUGCAGAUAUAAUUUAAACUUGUUUUCCUGGAGAUUUCCUGUUUUAUUUUGUUUUUUUGAAAUAAUUGUUUAAAACAUAGAUUUUAUAACGUAUGCUUCAAAAUUUUAAAUAUUUUCUAUUCUUCAGAUCAGUUUAUUCCCUUUCAUUCUAUAUACAUUUGUCUAUCUUAGAACAAAAUAAGUUUUUUUAAAAAUAGAGUUUGGCCAUUUAGAAGAAGAAAUGAUGGCGGGGGGGGGGGUGGCACAUGAGCAAAUAAAUUCUUCCUUAGCAUUUUUUUCAUGUUUUCCAGUGCUGUGUACAGCUGUAUACUUCAGUUAUGUCAUUCACACAUGCAAUCCAUCAUGUAUUGUUAGGUGGAAAUGUGGAAAGUACUUGAGUUCUUUAUUAAUUUUGACACAAUUAAAAAUAUAAAUGAUUGAAAUCCAGAGGGUUAAUGCUUAAUGUUCUCCAGAGAAAACCCAAUACAUACCCUACUAAAUUUUGCUCAUAGGCAGCAUAAAAUGUAAACAAGUAUUUACAGUGGAGCUUUAUGAUCCACUUCUGUAUUGCAGCUAUAAAAUUGUAAUCAAUAUGCUUUAAGGGUUUAGUGGAUAUUAAAAUUUUUAUGAGAUCUAAAGUUAAGGAUGUAUACACUUAUUUGAAAUAGCAACUAGCAUUGAUUAAAAUUUUUAGAAUAUGGACAGUGAGGAAUGGCCAUUUUUAUGUAGUACUCUUGUAUUCUUUACAGGGUAAUAUGCAAACCCUACUGUGUGAAAGAAGAAAGUAUUUCCAUUCACAUACGGGGGCAUGGGCAUUAUUUCCUCCACAGGCAGUCUCUUGUGUUUCAUGGAGCAAUGCUCCAGAGGGCCACUCCCCAGAGAGCUGCUGUUGGAAAUUCUGCAGUGUGAGCACCCAAAGGGCAGUUGAUUCCCUACCAUAAACUCACAAGAAAAUAAUACAUUUUAAUUUUGAUGGUGCAGUGAUGAAUCUUUGUCUGAGGACGUUAGUGAUCAUUUGAUCAGCACUUAUACCAUGGCAUUCCUGGAGUUAAGCAAAAUUUAUUGAUAGCUGUGUUUUCUUUUGGAAAAAAAACGGAGAGUAUUUGUGACGUUUUAAUGCAUUAAACUAGUAUAAAUGUAAGGUGUAAGGUAUAAGAACUCUGUUCAUAUGUAAAUAGACAAUGGAAAAACUCCAUGUAAGGGUGUAAACUGAGAAAUAGCUCUAGUUCUAAAGAUAAUUUUAAUACGUCAGUUACACUACUGGAAAAAAAACACUGAUUUAAAGACACUAGUAUCUAGAUAAAGUGAUACUCUUUAGUAAAUGUACUAAGGACCAUCUCAUGUUGAACUACUCGUGUAGUUUCCGAGCAACCAUGCCUUGGAUCACACUUUAUGUUUAGAAUACUUAUUCAUACAUAAAGAUCAAUUAUGACUUUUGCAAUUAAAGUAGAAUUUGCCCAAUUAAUUUGGGGUUCAAUUAAGUAGUUCAAUUUGGAGAAUUGAAUUUUUUCAGCACACAGGGUCCACUGAAGUAAUGUCUAUAAUAAAUGCUGAUUGGACAGUAGUCUGCCAUCCAGUAAGUACAUAGCAGGUGUGACUGUGUUUAUAUAUUUUGAUAAAGGUUUCUGAAACAACCUAUUGCAUAGAAUAAAGAUAGGGCCACUGUUUUAAAACAUUCCUUAGCUACAAAUUGUAUUUUUAUUGUAUUUGGCAUUCCUAUCUUUAAUUCUGGUGUAGAAUUAAUAUAUAAAGUGAACACAAUUGCCAGUAAAAUAUUUUAUGUGGCGAUCAAUGUUGAAUCAAACUGGUUAACAAAAAAAAUGGUGCUCCUGGUUCUUUUUACACUACUUACUCACUAGCUGCAGGUGUAAGAACUCUACCUUGAAAGUGGGUAUUUGAGAAGCAGCAGGUGGCUUUCUUGCAGUAUUCACGUUUUGUUGCCAACCAUUUUAUGUCCUUUAUUGACAACAGGAGAAAUUACUCCCCAGGAAAAUCAUUAGCUUCUGGGGAACUAAUGAUUACAGAAGGAUUUUUAAUAUAUAAAUAUGGCAUUGUGACAGAAUGUUUGAAUAAUUUAAAGUUUUUGUUUGUUUGUUUGUAGAAAAAAUGGACAUUGCCCAAACACAUGUAAAUAAAAAACAUCACACCUGUACAUGAUGUGCAAUAAAAACUGGAAAAGUUACAUGUGCUUUAUCCUCAAAAGCCAAUUGGCAGCUUGCAGGGCUGCCAUUAGUUUUAUAUUUUGAGAAGUCAAAUUUUAUUCUGUAUCUAAAUGUAUAGCAGAAUAAAGAAUAUACCUUUUGCACUCUGUAA
Molecule: RNA transcript, 8305 nt
Organism: Eublepharis macularius
Lineage: Eukaryota; Metazoa; Chordata; Lepidosauria; Squamata; Eublepharidae
Gene: QKI
Gene name: QKI, KH domain containing RNA binding
Exons: 8
Source: RefSeq, a predicted model, not a curated record